UCCUUAGAUGUUCUGGGCUGCACGCGCGCUACACUGAAGCGUUCAACGAGUAUUCACCUUGCCCGGGAGGGUUGGGUAAUCUUUUGAAAACGCUUCGUGAUGGGGAUAGAUUAUUGCAAUUAUUAAUCUUCAACGAGGAAUUCCUAGUAAGCGCGAGUCAUCAGCUCGUGCUGAUUACGUCCCUGCCCUUUGUACACACCGCCCGUCGCUCCUACCGAUUGAAGUUUUCGGUGAGUUGACAGGAGGAUUUUUUUGAAACUGGUUCGCCAGUGGAUUUUAGAUCCAAAUGCCAACGAAUCGAUGGCUUUAGAGGAAGGAGAAGUCGUAACA
Molecule: ribosomal RNA, 330 nt
Filed under: uncultured eukaryote
Lineage: Eukaryota
Description: partial 18S ribosomal RNA
Rfam family: Eukaryotic small subunit ribosomal RNA
Source: RNAcentral